GUGGGAAAAGAGGAUUUGUUCAUAGACACUUCAGGCUACACUGACACCCGACAAACGUAGAGAUCUGUGAUGUAGUGGUUAGCGACACAGCCUUUCACGUGGGCGCCUGAUCGAAUCUCAAGAGGGCAAUACUUUCUAUUGCGUUCUGGCUGAACUAGGCAUGCCUGGUUUCUUGCUAUAACCCCAGGAAUGGUUACAUAUAAACCAAGCGAGGAAGUAGGUCUUAAACUCUGUAUUUCAUUUAUUAACAGGAGCCCAUUAACACCAGUCUACAUGAUCACUUUCCACUGCUGGAACAUUCCAGAACUCCAAAACAUAAACAAAUACCUAGCUUCAACACCUGGGGCCCGUUCUUCGUACGUCGCUAACUCAGUUAGCUGGAUUUGAUUGUUGACGAUUUGGCAUGAUCUUGGAUCGUUUGGUUCUUCGAAGCUCAUCCUAGACUUGCUGUCAUAGCAACAGGCUUCCCUAACGUGAUUGGUGCCAUAGACUGCACACACAUCCCCAUCAAGGCCCCACCUGGCCCAAAUGAAGGCGAUUUUGUGAACUGAAAGGGGGUUCACAGUGUAAAUGUGCAGGGGAUUUUGAUGGGAUCCUGCUUGGAGACAGGGGCUAUGCCUGCAGGCAGUAUUUUAUGACGCCCUUCCCUGACCCAAACCCUGGACCACAAACCCAUU
Long non-coding RNA from Esox lucius (northern pike), 677 nucleotides. Lineage: Eukaryota; Metazoa; Chordata; Actinopteri; Esociformes; Esocidae. The record is from Ensembl.